RNAcentral lists this ribosomal RNA (298 nucleotides) under uncultured Pseudomonas sp. RNAcentral's name for it is "partial 16S ribosomal RNA". It matches the Rfam family "Bacterial small subunit ribosomal RNA", at positions 1089 to 1382 of the family's 1533-position model. Lineage: Bacteria; Pseudomonadati; Pseudomonadota; Gammaproteobacteria; Pseudomonadales; Pseudomonadaceae. The record is from RNAcentral.
GUAACGAGCGCAACCCUUGUCCUUAGUUACCAGCACGUUAUGGUGGGCACUCUAAGGAGACUGCCGGUGACAAACCGGAGGAAGGUGGGGAUGACGUCAAGUCAUCAUGGCCCUUACGGCCUGGGCUACACACGUGCUACAAUGGUCGGUACAAAGGGUUGCCAAGCCGCGAGGUGGAGCUAAUCCCAUAAAACCGAUCGUAGUCCGGAUCGCAGUCUGCAACUCGACUGCGUGAAGUCGGAAUCGACUUAGUAAUCGUGAACUCACGAAUGUCACGGUGAAUACGUUCCCGGGCCUU